Molecule: ribosomal RNA, 502 nt
Filed under: uncultured bacterium
Lineage: Bacteria
Description: partial 16S ribosomal RNA
Rfam family: Bacterial small subunit ribosomal RNA
Source: RNAcentral
AUUGAACGCUGGCGGCAGGCUUAACACAUGCAAGUCGAGCGGAGCGAGGGUGCUUGCACCUUAGCUUAGCGGCGGACGGGUGAGUAAUGCUUAGGAAUCUGCCUAUUAGUGGGGGACAACAUUCCGAAAGGAAUGCUAAUACCGCAUACGCCCUACGGGGGAAAGCAGGGGAUCUUCGGACCUUGCGCUAAUAGAUGAGCCUAAGUCGGAUUAGCUAGUUGGUGGGGUAAAGGCCUACCAAGGCGACGAUCUGUAGCGGGGCUGAGAGGAUGAUCCGCCAAACUGGGACUGAGACACGGCCCAGACUCCUACGGGAGGCAGCAGUGGGGAAUAUUGGACAAUGGGCGGAAGCCUGAUCCAGCCAUGCCGCGUGUGUGAAGAAGGCCUUUUGGUUGGAAAGCACUUUAAGCGAGGAGGAGGCUACUUAGAUUAAUACUCUAGGAUAGUGGACGUUACUCGCAGAAUAAGCACCGGCUAACUCUGUGCCAGCAGCCGCCGUAAA